ACAAGUUUGGUCCCAGCUUUGUUAUCAAUUAUUUCUUAACUUACACAUGCAAGUCUCAGCAAUCCCGUGAAAACGCCCUUUCCUCUAUUGAGCUAAGGAGCUGGUAUUAGGCACAGAAUUCUUGCCCAUAACACCUAGUUAUACCACACCUACAAAGGUUCUCAGCAGUGAUAAAAAUUGUUCAUUAGCGUCAGCUUGAAUCAGUUAUAGAAAAGAGAGCUGUCCAACACGGUGCCAGCCGCCGCGGUUAAACCGUUUUAGGGCUCAAAUUGAUAUUAGUCGGCGUUGAGCGUGAUUAGAGAAAAAAGUAAAAUUAGAGUUAAAUUUAAACUUAGCUGCGAAAAGCUUGUCACCGAGAAAAUCAUAAACGAAAGUUACUCUAAUAUACCCAUUGAACACACGACAGUUAGGAUACAAACUGAGAUUAGAUACCCCACUAUGCCUUACCGUAAAAUUUAACCUACAUCAUAAACGCCAGGGUACUACGAGCCUUAGCUUAAAACCCAAAGGACUUGACGGUAUCCCAUUCCGACUAGAGGAGCCUGUUCUACAAUCGAUAAUCCCCGAUAUACCAGACCACUUUUUGCCUAAUUCAGCCUGUAUACCUCCGUCGCAAGUUCACCGUGUGAACGUACAAUAGUAGGCCAAAGGACAAAUUCGCCAUAACGUCAGGUCAAGGUGCAGCUAAUAAAGUGGAAGAAAUGGGCUACACUCUCUAAACUAGAACAAAUGAAACACUACAUGAAACAUAGUCAUGAAGGCGGAUUUAGGAGUAAGUAGAAAAUAGAGAGUUCUACUAAAUAACGGCCAUGGGACACGUACAAACCGCCCGUCACCCUCUUCGACGUCUUUAACAUAGUUUAUAACACAUUAUUACGCCUGAGAAGAGAUAAGUCGUAACAUGGUAAGUAUACUGGAAAGUGUCCUUGGAAAUAA
This 936-nucleotide non-coding RNA is filed under the name Zhangixalus chenfui (Chinese whipping frog). RNAcentral's name for it is "12S ribosomal RNA". It matches the Rfam family "Bacterial small subunit ribosomal RNA". Lineage: Eukaryota; Metazoa; Chordata; Amphibia; Anura; Rhacophoridae. The record is from RNAcentral.